RNAcentral lists this ribosomal RNA (303 nucleotides) under uncultured bacterium. RNAcentral describes it as "partial 16S ribosomal RNA". It matches the Rfam family "Bacterial small subunit ribosomal RNA", at positions 507 to 807 of the family's 1533-position model. The record is from RNAcentral.
AGCAGCCGCCGCGGUAAUACGAAGGGGGCUAGCGUUGUUCGGAAUUACUGGGCGUAAAGCGCACGUAGGCGGAUAUUUAAGUCAGGGGUGAAAUCCCGCAGCUCAACUGCGGAACUGCCUUUGAUACUGGGUAUCUUGAGUAUGGAAGAGGUUAGUGGAAUUGCGAGUGUAGAGGUGAAAUUCGUAGAUAUUCGCAGGAACACCAGUGGCGAAGGCGGCUAACUGGUCCAUAACUGACGCUGAGGUGCGAAAACGUGGGGAGCAAACAGGAUUAGAUACCCCCGUAGUCCCUGUCUCUUAUAC